GGGGAUUUAGCUCAGCGGUAGAGCGCUUGCCUAGGAAGCGCAAGGCCCUGGGUUCGAUCCCCAGCUCCG
Molecule: non-coding RNA, 69 nt
Organism: Rattus norvegicus (Norway rat)
Lineage: Eukaryota; Metazoa; Chordata; Mammalia; Rodentia; Muridae
Source: Rfam